UGCCAAGUCAUAAUUCCUUGUGGCUCCCCUCACAGGGGCAGGAGAGAAUCUAAGCUGGCCUGCUACAUUAGAAGAAUUUUCAUGCAAUAAUUUGAAGUGUCCAGACUGCAGAACACAAAGCAGGGUGAGUGAAACUGGAUGCAGUUCCCAAAUACUUCUGUUUUAACAGCAAAUAAUUUCCAAGUGGUCCAUUUCAUCCAAAGAACACCUAGCUGGAAAGUGCAGUGUGCCUGGCUCCUGCGCUCUGAAGAGGAUGCUCCGCUCCGCUCCGCAGCGAUGUGCCCGGGAGGACAGCAGUUAAGAUGUGGGCCUUAUUUUCCUGUCCAAAUCCCACGUGGGAAGAAGCGAUCCCAUGCUAUUCGUUGUUUUGGGAUUAUUGAAGAAACCACUGCUGUUGAACUAGCAGGGGAUCUUUCCUCCUGUGACCUCUGCCAGAGCAUCUGAUUGGUGUGCCCCAGCUGCAGGCCCUAAUUUUCUUGGGAAAGUUUUAAGAUCGUCUGAAAAGCAACCAUCUUCUUUCCUAGCCCUUAACUGACUUGUGCAGGCUUUUCCUGGCCUUUCCAACUGCAGUGUGAAGGGGAUUGUUUGUUUUCUUUUUAAAUGUUAUCCUGCCUGCCUCCUCUUUUUUAACAAAACUUUACGUGAAGACUCACUGUGUAUCGAGCACGGCACAUGGAUGGAGUGGCUGCUUUGAACUACUUUCGCAACAAUGGAUUCUGCUUGACUGAUAAUGAAACCAUGGGAUAGACCUCAGGGAGGUGAGUCAUAUGUUAAUUUGUUCUUGAAGUUUCCUUAGUAUGUUAAAAGCUGUGAUCUUUCAGAAAAAUCUCUUACUUCUAUUUUUUUUUUUUUUUUAAAUUACUUCCUGGGGCCAUGGCAGAUGCUGUUUGGAAUGACACCCAAUGAGUUGUUCUAAUGUAGUCCAGUGCUCGAUUGGCAUUCUCCUAUUGUGCAAAUAUUUUUGGUACUUCUUUUCCCGCAAAGAUAUUUUAUUAAGUGCGGCACAUUGUUAUACACAUGUGGUGCUAUGGAGCCCCAGAAUAUGCAUGGG
This 1051-nucleotide long non-coding RNA is filed under the name Cairina moschata (Muscovy duck). RNAcentral's name for it is "domestica (muscovy Duck (domestic type)) lncRNA (ENSCMMG00000008544.1)". Lineage: Eukaryota; Metazoa; Chordata; Aves; Anseriformes; Anatidae. The record is from RNAcentral.